This 673-nucleotide long non-coding RNA is filed under the name Carica papaya (papaya). RNAcentral describes it as "long non-coding RNA (CPAP_LNC002495)". Lineage: Eukaryota; Viridiplantae; Streptophyta; Magnoliopsida; Brassicales; Caricaceae. The record is from RNAcentral.
ACUGAAUGAUAUUAUGUGAUACGAUAAUGAGUCUAUGUGCAUAUGUGAUUGGUUGUGUUGGUGAAUGAUGAGAAUAUGUUGUUAUGUGAAUAUGUAUAUUAGAUAGGGUAUUCUACACAUUUAAGGAAGGAUAUCAUAUGUGUGUGAAUAUACGUUAAAGAAAAGAUAUUAGAUGUGUGAUAUGUGUUUAAAAAAUUUUAUUCUACGUGUGGAUAAGAAUUUGAAAAAUGGUAUUCUAUGUGUAAGCAUGUGUAAUUAAUAUGAACACGAUAUCGCGUUUAUGAAAUUAUGAAUAAAUAACUUAUGAGAAUGUAGUUAUGUAAAUUAUGGACAUCCUUUGAAUGAAAUGAGGUAUAUAAAAAUGAAAACAUGUGAAUAGUAAUAUCGAUAUAGUUGUAGUAGGGUGUGGAUAUCAGAUGGUGAUGAAGGGCCUGAUAAGCUUGAGGUAAAGGUAAUGGUUCGAAUCAGUAUAUUAUCUAUGAUCUUCGGAUUGAAGUUUUAAAUUAUUCUUAUUGAGCAAGUGGUGGCUUACUCUUUUUUAUCAAUUUCAUAGCAGAAAGACCAAGACCAAGUUCAUGGUCAAGGAAGACUUAGAAGAAUCCUUUUAUGAAAAUGGGAAAUUAUUUGUAAAGUAGAUCUAAAAAUUUACUUUAGAAACGUCAUUAAAUAUUUU